This 443-nucleotide ribosomal RNA is filed under the name uncultured bacterium. Its description in RNAcentral is "bacterial SSU rRNA". It matches the Rfam family "Bacterial small subunit ribosomal RNA", at positions 338 to 798 of the family's 1533-position model. The record is from RNAcentral.
CCUACGGGUGGCUGCAGUGGGGAAUCUUGCGCAAUGGGCGAAAGCCUGACGCAGCCAUGCCGCGUGAAUGAUGAAGGUCUUAGGAUUGUAAAAUUCUUUCACCGGGGACGAUAAUGACGGUACCCGGAGAAGAAGCCCCGGCUAACUUCGUGCCAGCAGCCGCGGUAAUACGAAGGGGGCUAGCGUUGCUCGGAAUUACUGGGCGUAAAGGGCGCGUAGGCGGAUCGUUUAGUCAGAGGUGAAAUCCCAGGGCUCAACCCUGGAAUUGCCUUUGAUACUGGCGAUCUUGAGUGUGAGAGAGGUAUGUGGAACUCCGAGUGUAGAGGUGAAAUUCGUAGAUAUUCGGAAGAACACCAGUGGCGAAGGCGACAUACUGGCUCAUUACUGACGCUGAGGCGCGAAAGCGUGGGGAGCAAACAGGAUUAGAUACCCGUGUAGUCUAC